Molecule: long non-coding RNA, 415 nt
Filed under: Daucus carota (carrot)
Lineage: Eukaryota; Viridiplantae; Streptophyta; Magnoliopsida; Apiales; Apiaceae
Description: long non-coding RNA (DCAR_LNC001389)
Source: RNAcentral
UAAUGCCCAUAAUACUCUUUGCUGCCACAAAUGAGAUUCUAUUCCAAUUCCAAAUAUAACAAAUGGCUGACAGUGUACACCAAAUUAAUAACUAACUUCUACUGAAUAAUAAGUCAAAAGCUUCUUAUAGGCCUUUCUCUCGAGUAAAUUAUAGUCAUAAGAUUCUCGAACACGAUCAAUACUAAUCAUGCAGAUGAUUCUGCGGUUUGAUACGUUGAUUAUCAGAAUAUAUCGUGCAGCGAGAGAUCGAUCCGGUCACGCGUGUGAUCACUUCGUAAAUACCACCUUAUUUCGGGAAGUAAAGUAGGUAUGUCCAUGCACACAAGGUGGUGAUGGAUGGUUGCGAUCCACAUCAAGAUAAAUAUUUUAAGCACUGAAUUUGAAAUUGUUCGUAUACAUAUGAACUGAAUUACCA